UGGCUGCAGUGGGGAAUAUUGCACAAUGGGCGAAAGCCUGAUGCAGCGACGCCGCGUGGGGGAUGAAGGCCUUCGGGUUGUAAACCUCUUUCAGCAGGGACGAAGCGAAAGUGACUGUACCUGCAAAAGAAGCACCGGCUAACUACGUGCCAGCAGCCGCGGUAAUACGUAGGGUGCAAGCGUUGUCCGGAUUUAUUGGGCGUAAAGAGCUCGUAGGCGGUUUGUCGCGUCGGAUGUGAAAACCUAUGGCUUAACCAUGGGCCUGCAUUCGAUACGGGCAAACUAGAGUUCGGUAGGGGAGACUGGAAUUCCUGGUGUAGCGGUGAAAUGCGCAGAUAUCAGGAGGAACACCGGUGGCGAAGGCGGGUCUCUGGGCCGAUACUGACGCUGAGGAGCGAAAGCGUGGGGAGCAAACAGGAUUAGAUACCCUGGUAGUC
This 437-nucleotide ribosomal RNA is filed under the name uncultured Actinomycetes bacterium. RNAcentral's name for it is "bacterial SSU rRNA". It matches the Rfam family "Bacterial small subunit ribosomal RNA", at positions 346 to 795 of the family's 1533-position model. The record is from RNAcentral. Lineage: Bacteria; Bacillati; Actinomycetota; Actinomycetes.